This 237-nucleotide ribosomal RNA is filed under the name uncultured bacterium. Its description in RNAcentral is "partial 16S ribosomal RNA". It matches the Rfam family "Bacterial small subunit ribosomal RNA", at positions 118 to 351 of the family's 1533-position model. The record is from RNAcentral.
UGAGUAACCUGCCCUUAACUCUGGGAUAAGCCUGGGAAACUGGGUCUAAUACCGGAUAUGACUCCUCAUCGCAUGGGUGGGGGGUGGAAAGCUUUAUUGUGGUUUUGGAUGGACUCGCGGCCUAUCAGCUUGUUGGUGAGGUAAUGGCUCACCAAGGCGACGACGGGUAGCCGGCCUGAGAGGGUGACCGGCCACACUGGGACUGAGACACGGCCCAGACCUCCGUACGGGAGGCAG